RNAcentral lists this ribosomal RNA (1272 nucleotides) under Triticum aestivum (bread wheat). RNAcentral's name for it is "partial small subunit ribosomal RNA". The record is from RNAcentral. Lineage: Eukaryota; Viridiplantae; Streptophyta; Magnoliopsida; Poales; Poaceae.
AUGGAGAACGGCGGCGAGGCGAAGUGGCGCUUCGGGGCGGGGAACCCGGCGGUCCAGGCGAGUGGCCGGCAGAGCCUCCGCGCCCUCGUCACCCGCGUGUUUGACUGCGUCGACAGGAACGACCCGCGGCCGGUCGCGCCGCUCGGCCACGGCGACCCCUCCGCAUUCGCGUGCUUCCGCACGGCGGCUGCCGACGAGGAAGCCGUCUCCGCCGCCGCCCUGUCAGGCAAGCACAACAGAUACUCCUCCGCCGGAGGCGUGCUGGAGGCGCGCAGCGCCGUCGCCGCGUACCUGUCCAGGGAGCUCCCCUACGAGCUCUCGACGGGGGACGUGGUCGUCACGGCCGGCUGCAACCACGCCAUCGAGAUCAUGAUGGCCGUGCUGGCGUCGCCGGGCGCCAACGUGCUGCUGCCGAGGCCGGGGUACCCGAUGUACGAGUCUCGCGCCGCGCUGUGCGGCCUCGAGUUCCGGCGCUUCGACCUCCUGCCGGAGAAGGAGUGGGAGGUGGACCUCGACGGCGUGGAGGCCCUCGCCGACGAGAACACCGUCGCCAUGGUCAUCGUCAACCCCAACAACCCAUGCGGGUGCGUCUACUCCUACGACCACUUGGCCAAGAUUGCAGAGACGGCGAGGAAGCUUGGAAUCAUGGUGAUCAGCGACGAAGUGUACGACCACUGCGCGUUCGGGAGCAAGCCGUUCGUGCCGAUGGGCGUGUUCGGGGAGAUAGCUCCGGUGGUGACCAUCGGCGGCAUCUCCAAGCGGUGGAUGGUGCCCGGCUGGCGCCUUGGCUGGAUCGCAGCCACCGAUCCCAAGGGGGUCCUCCGGGACAAGAACGUCCUAGAGUCGAUCAUGAGCUACUGCGCCAUCUCGGUGGACGCCGUGACGUUCGUGCAGGGAGCUCUGCCGCAGAUCAUCGCCAACACGGACAAGGCCUUCUUCGAGAAGGCCAUGGACGUGAUGAGGGAGGCGGCGGAGAUAUGCUACCGGAAGGUGGGCGGCAUCGAGUGCAUCACCUGCCCUCACAAGCCGGAGGGGUCCAUGUUCGUCAUGGUGAAGCUGGACCUCUCCUGCUUGGACGGCAUCGCCGACGACGUCGACUUCUGCACCCAGGUCGCCCGCGAGGAGUCCGUUGUCAUUUGCCCAGGGAGUGGACUAGGAAUGAAGAACUGGCUCCGAAUUACGUUUGCUGUCGAUCCAGGCCUUCUCGAGGAUGGCAUGGAGAGGGUCAAGUCUUUCUGCCAAAGGCAUGGCAAAGCCAAGGAGUUGAAGUGA